Molecule: transfer RNA, 61 nt
Filed under: Heterocephalus glaber (naked mole-rat)
Lineage: Eukaryota; Metazoa; Chordata; Mammalia; Rodentia; Bathyergidae
Rfam family: tRNA
About the family: Transfer RNA (tRNA) molecules are approximately 80 nucleotides in length.
Source: Rfam by way of RNAcentral
UGUAGCUCAGUGGUAGAGCACUUGCCUAGCAUGUGUGAGGCCCUGGGUUCAAUUCUUAGCA